This 421-nucleotide non-coding RNA is filed under the name Medicago truncatula (barrel medic). RNAcentral describes it as "Eukaryotic large subunit ribosomal RNA". It matches the Rfam family "Eukaryotic large subunit ribosomal RNA", at positions 962 to 1384 of the family's 3401-position model. Lineage: Eukaryota; Viridiplantae; Streptophyta; Magnoliopsida; Fabales; Fabaceae. The record is from Rfam by way of RNAcentral.
CGAAGUUUUCUCCAAGAUAGCUGAAGUAUGAGGGUGAGUACUAUCAAAUAAAGCCCAAUGAUUAGAGGCAUCAAGGUGCAUCACCCUCAAUUUAUUCUCAAAUUUUAAAUAUGUAGGAUGGUGUGGUUGCUCUGUUGAGCCAUGUCAUGGAAUCGAGAACUCCAAAUAUAUCAUUUUUAAUUUGGUAAGAAGAACUACCCAUGCUAGAUGAAUCGGAAGUUGGGUUACGGUGUCCAAUUGCACGCUAACCUAAACACCUGGUGUUCGUCAAAUAAGACAGUAUAGGACGGUGGUCAUGGAAGUCGAAAUCCGCUAAAGAGUAUAUAACAGCUUACCUUCUAAAUCAACUAGUUCAAAAAAUGGAUGGCGUUAAAGCAACCUAUAACCGGCUCCAUUGAACAUUUCAAAAAAUUGGUAGUAG